This 406-nucleotide ribosomal RNA is filed under the name uncultured bacterium. Its description in RNAcentral is "partial 16S ribosomal RNA". It matches the Rfam family "Bacterial small subunit ribosomal RNA", at positions 30 to 526 of the family's 1533-position model. The record is from RNAcentral.
AUUGAACGCUGGCGGCAGGCCUAACACAUGCAAGUCGAACGAGUGGCGGACGGGUGAGUAAUGUCUGGGAAACUGCCCGAUGGAGGGGGAUAAUUACUGGAACCGGUAGCUAAUACCGCAUACCAUCGCAUUUGCCUAGAUGGGAUUAGCUAGUUGGUGGGGUAACGGCUCACCAAGGCGACGUUCCCUAGCUGUUCUGAGAGGAUGACCAUCCACACUGGAACUGAGACACGGUCCGGACUCCUACGGGAGGCAGCAGUGGGGAAUAUUGCACAUUGGGCGCAAGCCUGAUGCAGCCAUGCCGCGUGUAUGAAGAAGGCCUUCGGGGUGUAAAGUACUUUCAGCGAGGAGGCGUUACCCGCAGAAGAAGCACCGGCUAACUCCGUGCCAGCAGCCGCGGUAAUUC